Molecule: long non-coding RNA, 2494 nt
Organism: Psammomys obesus (fat sand rat)
Lineage: Eukaryota; Metazoa; Chordata; Mammalia; Rodentia; Muridae
Exons: 6
Source: RefSeq, a predicted model, not a curated record
ACAAACAAACAAACAAACAAACCCCAAACCCAACAACAAUAGCAACGACAACAAAAAACAAGAAAACAACAACAACAACAAAAACUACCAAUGAACAUUUUCAAGUGACAGUGUAGAUACAAAAACCUAAGUCUAACAGAGCUCUCUGUUGAGGUGCAGGGGACAGUGACAUUCUAUAGAACUCUUGGAUUGGUUCCUUGUCCGUUAAAUAUUGUGGCUUCAAAGUGGAGCUGACUCUGCAGUAGCUAUUAAACAUAUUCAUUGGAUUUGCCAAGUUCUGGAAAAAGGAAGGCUAUGUCUACCUUCAUCCUCUUUGGGGAACCAAUAGAAAACUCAUGUCAGCCUUGAGCAGAAGAAAACCUAGAGACUCAUGUGGCAGCACUGGCCAAGAAGGCUCCCCAAGUGUGACUGAAGGAAAAUUAAAGGAAUAAAGUAGCUUAACAAGUCCAAAAACUUCUCGGACUCUGUAGCUUGAGGAAGAUGAACGGGGGAGUUCGCUGCUUAAUGUGACCUCCGGUGACUCUUAGACCUGCCUUAGACUUCUGUGACGUUCGAAGGCUGGAGACUUAGGGCUUCGUGCUUUCCGGCCAAGAAUUCUACCAACUGAGCUACAUCUUCACUUGCACAGUUUGUAUUGAAGGUUUCAAAAACUUUAGCUGUUGGAGAGCCUUACUCGUCCUGAGCACUCUGUGAAGUGAGCUGGAGAAGCCCGGGGCAUUUAUCAGAAGUGUUAAGAGUUGGAGGCUGCCUUGAAUUUCCUCACACUCAAGCCUUGUGAAAUUCAAACAUACUUGGAAAAUCUGGAUGUCUUGUGAAAGCUCGUUGGUAACUUGUAAUGGAGGCCGAAUCUAUUAGCAAAAGAAGUAAACAGCUUUUGGAGUCAAAGGAUACCAGAGGGGAAUGAGCUGUGUCUGGAAAAGGCUGCAUUGCAAAAGACAACAGUGCCACCGAUGACAUCUGAAAUUUCAGGACUCCCGUGGACAAAGCUGAUAGCUCCAAAGGUGCGCAUGCCUUUGGGUUUUCCCACCCAGGCAUGAAAUAUACUACAUGCCAAACUCAACAGCACUUAGGACACACAGCUGUCAGGCUCUGAAGACCAGAUGGCCACUAGAGGCUCUGAAAGUACCACCUGCCUUGCCUUUAGAGACAGAGUCUCUUAUUAGCUUGCAUCUCACUAUGGUCCAUGAGCCCAAUGGUUCUGGCUGUUUCUGCCUCUCCAGUUCCUGGGAUCAUAAGAACAGGCCUCCACUCCUGGCCUCUUAUGUGGGCACCGGAGACUAAACUCAGGUCCUUACACAUGCAUGGCGUACAUCUUGCCUGAAGCAAUGUCUGAAUACAAGGUACAUCAUGGCCUCACUCUGCACAAUACUACAGGAGAAUUUUCUUCCCUAUUUUAGUCAGUCUCCAUCUGAGGCAAUUAUCUUGUACUUCCUGAGAUGGAGUCCAUCUUUUCUCAAGAGGACCAUACCAUCACGGAGGAAUUUUAAGUGUUCUGCUGGAUACUACUUGUACAGACGCAUGUUUAUUUCCACGGCACACCUGUUCCUGUGGUGGUGGGACCCCUCUGCUCUAGCCAGCCUCAAGCACUACCUAAGCGCAGUUCUCCCCCUCCAUCUUCAGAAGAGCAAAAAUAGCCUGAAUGUACUAACAGCUUAUCAAGAGCCCCAAACUGUCCCGAGCAUUUUCAUGUGCAUUAGCUCAUCUCCUCCUUACAGCAGCUUGGUAAAAUAGCCAGAAGAGAACACUGAGGCAUGGAGAGAUGCUGCCGCUCUUUUAGGAAACGGAGCAAGACUGAAGCCCGGCAAGACUGAAGCUCCAGAGUCUGAAUUACUGUUUGAAGGUGACGAAUGUUUCUUGUGUGGUUUGUAUGAGUACAGACAGAUGAAAUCAGGUCUUCGUAAUGACCCAAAGCCCUGAUCAGUUCUCUGUUUCCAUUUUCCUUCUCAGCUACUGUGAGGUGCACAGCAUGCUGGGCCAUCCUUAACACCAGUUACCCAAUGGUGCUUCCAUGAGGAAAUAUGGUAGAACAUAAUAUAGCAUAGAAUUUUAAAUCGAUUAGAUCACCUAUGCCACUUAUACACCAACACAGUUCAUUCAUGUCUACGUGACAUUCAGUUGCACAUAUUAGUGUCCAUGUAUAUACAUAUGAAGAAAAUUAGGGUUUUCAUUCAAGAACACAUGUGGCCAAAUGCAAAUGCCCUCUUUGAAGGGGCCAGCUUCCUGAUAAGACAUACGAUGCUUCUCACUGCAAGCUGCAAGACCUUUGGGAAUGUAUAUAUGUAUGUGUGUGUGUGUGUGAGCACACUUCCACAAGAUUAAUUCUUUUUUUUCUCGCUGCUCAUGCUACCGACCUCACAAAUCUGUGAUUCACAGCAGGAAUGUAGCCCGGAACUUCUGCUAUGUAAGCAGCUGCAGAUGCUUCGAAUACCAUUGUACAUGUGAUCCAGGACUUGCUAUAAAUUUACCCCUAAAAAUAAAGUAACAAGUGACUGAA